Molecule: ribosomal RNA, 468 nt
Filed under: uncultured bacterium
Lineage: Bacteria
Description: partial 16S ribosomal RNA
Rfam family: Bacterial small subunit ribosomal RNA
Source: RNAcentral
GACGAACGCUGGCGGCGUGCUUAACACAUGCAAGUCGAACGGAAAGGCCCUGCUUUUGUGGGGUGCUCGAGUGGCGAACGGGUGAGUAACACGUGAGUAACCUGCCCUUGACUUUGGGAUAACUUCAGGAAACUGGGGCUAAUACCGGAUAGGGGCUCCUGCUGCAUGGUGGGGGUUGGAAAGUUUCGGCGGUUGGGGAUGGACUCGCGGCUUAUCAGCUUGUUGGUGGGGUAGUGGCUUACCAAGGCUUUGACGGGUAGCCGGCCUGAGAGGGUGACCGGCCACAUUGGGACUGAGAUACGGCCCAGACUCCUACGGGAGGCAGCAGUGGGGAAUAUUGCACAAUGGGCGGAAGCCUGAUGCAGCAACGCCGCGUGCGGGAUGACGGCCUUCGGGUUGUAAACCGCUUUCGCCUGUGACGAAGCGUGAGUGACGGUAAUGGAUAAAGAAGCACCGGCUAACUACGUG